This is a long non-coding RNA of Salvia splendens (bonfire salvia), 500 nucleotides long. RefSeq lists it as uncharacterized. The transcript has 4 exons. Lineage: Eukaryota; Viridiplantae; Streptophyta; Magnoliopsida; Lamiales; Lamiaceae. The record is from RefSeq and is a predicted model, not a curated record.
UUGAGAUGCCUUAUUCUUUUAUCUCUAUUGAAACAUGUAUAAUUCUGCUUCUUAAUUUAUAGUCAUAUUGUCAUUUGCUCCACAAUCCUCACGCAUUGAUUCCGCAAAUUCAUCCGAUUCUUCUUUAUCGAAUGCCCUAAACUAAAUUCACCUACACCUUAAACCAAAUCUGAGAGGAAACAGCUCUACUCAGUGAUUGGAGCUGCCUGUAGAUUCAGAGUUCAUAAGGUAUCCAUGAGAAACAUGAAAUGCUUUGAGUGGUUAUUCAUAUGCUCUCUGAUCACACUACUUAGUGGUCUACCAUACAGUUAUGGAAAUGUUCUCCGAACAUUUGGCACGAUGAACGAUAAAGUUUUGCGUGUUGGCGAGGAGCUUUUCAAGGAAACCUUGCCGAUUCGAAAUGGUGCUCGCCUCUACCACUUGCAGGGAUUAAAACCCCAGACGUGGUAUGAAGUGAAGAUGUCAUAUCCUGCUUCUAUGCCCGCCAGUUUUUCUUUGCA